GUUGUGCUGGAGCAGAUUCCGGGAGAAGUUGUUUUCAAAGAUAAAACUCAGGAACUGCUGGAGAAAGGGUACUGGGCAAGUUACAACAUACCAUACUAUGAGGAAAUAUUCAAUGCAAGUGGCUGCAAUGAGCUGGUGGAGAAGUACGGCCCGUGGUUCUCUCUGGACCAGAAUCCUCGGGCUCAGAUCUUCAGAAGAAACCAGACAGCUGUCACAGAUGGG
Molecule: long non-coding RNA, 222 nt
Organism: Gymnodraco acuticeps
Lineage: Eukaryota; Metazoa; Chordata; Actinopteri; Perciformes; Bathydraconidae
Exons: 3
Source: RefSeq, a predicted model, not a curated record